RNAcentral lists this ribosomal RNA (253 nucleotides) under uncultured bacterium. Its description in RNAcentral is "partial 16S ribosomal RNA". It matches the Rfam family "Bacterial small subunit ribosomal RNA", at positions 524 to 776 of the family's 1533-position model. The record is from RNAcentral.
UACGUAGGGGGCAAGCGUUGUCCGGAUUUACUGGGCGUAAAGAGCGUGUAGGCGGCCAAGCAGGUCCGUUGUGAAAACUGGAGGCUUAACCUCCAGACGUCGACGGAAACCGCGUGGCUAGAGUCCGGAAGAGGAGAGUGGAAUUCCUGGUGUAGCGGUGGAAUGCGCAGAUAUCAGGAAGAACACCAAUGGCGAAGGCAGCUCUCUGGGACGGUACUGACGCUGAGACGCGAAAGCGUGGGGAGCGAACAGG